CUCAAAUUUGAAAUCUGGCCCCUCCGGGGUCCGAGUUGUAAUUUGCAGAGGAUGCUUCGGGCGCGGUCCCCGUCUAAGUACCCUGGAACGGGUCGUCAUAGAGGGUGAGAAUCCCGUCUGGGACGGGUGGCCGUGUCCGUGUGAAGCUCCUUCGACGAGUCGAGUUGUUUGGGAAUGCAGCUCUAAAUGGGUGGUAAAUUUCAUCUAAAGCUAAAUAUUGGCCGGAGACCGAUAGCGCACAAGUAGAGUGAUCGAAAGAUGAAAAGCACUUUGAAAAGAGAGUUAAACAGCACGUGAAAUUGUUGAAAGGGAAGCGCUUGCGACCAGACUCGCCCGCGGGGGUUCAGCCGGUACUCGUACCGGUGUACUCCCCCGGGGGCGGGCCAGCGUCGGUUUGGGCGGUCGGUCAAAGGCCUCCGGAAUGUGUCGCCCCCCGGGGCGUCUUAUAGCCGGAGGUGCAAUGCGGCCAGCCUGGACCGAGGAACGCGCUUCGGCUCGGACGCUGGCGUAAUGGUCGUAAGCGGCCCGUC
Molecule: ribosomal RNA, 530 nt
Filed under: Paecilomyces variotii
Lineage: Eukaryota; Fungi; Ascomycota; Eurotiomycetes; Eurotiales; Thermoascaceae
Description: partial large subunit ribosomal RNA
Rfam family: Eukaryotic large subunit ribosomal RNA
Source: RNAcentral